Non-coding RNA from Podarcis lilfordi (Lilford's wall lizard), 74 nucleotides. Lineage: Eukaryota; Metazoa; Chordata; Lepidosauria; Squamata; Lacertidae. The record is from the annotation of a GenBank genome assembly.
GCCUGGGGUAGCUCAGUCAGUAGAAUGUGCAGCUCUUAAUCUCGAGGUUGUGGAUUUGAGCCCCACUUUGGGCA